RNAcentral lists this ribosomal RNA (635 nucleotides) under uncultured bacterium. Its description in RNAcentral is "bacterial SSU rRNA". It matches the Rfam family "Bacterial small subunit ribosomal RNA", at positions 60 to 706 of the family's 1533-position model. The record is from RNAcentral.
AGUCGAACGGAGCUUUUCGGAGCUUGCUUUGAAAAGCUUAGUGGCGAACGGGUGAGUAACGCGUGAGUAACCUGCCCUCGAGUGGGGGACAACAGUUGGAAACGACUGCUAAUACCGCAUAAGACCACGGAGCCGCAUGGCUCAGAGGUAAAAGGAUUUAUUCGCUUGAGGAUGGACUCGCGUCCAAUUAGCUAGUUGGUGAGGUAACGGCCCACCAAGGCGACGAUUGGUAGCCGGACUGAGAGGUUGAUCGGCCACAUUGGGACUGAGACACGGCCCAGACUCCUACGGGAGGCAGCAGUGGGGGAUAUUGCACAAUGGGGGAAACCCUGAUGCAGCGACGCCGCGUGAAGGAAGAAGGCCUUCGGGUUGUAAACUUCUGUCGUACGGGACGAUAAUGACGGUACCGUACAAGAAAGCCACGGCUAACUACGUGCCAGCAGCCGCGGUAAAACGUAGGUGGCAAGCGUUGUCCGGAAUUACUGGGUGUAAAGGGAGCGCAGGCGGACUAGCAAGUUGGAAGUGAAAUCUAUGGGCUCAACCCAUAAAUUGCUUUCAAAACUGCCGGUCUUGAGUAGUGCAGAGGUAGGCGGAAUUCCCGGUGUAGCGGUGGAAUGCGUAGAUAUCGGGAGGAA